Molecule: non-coding RNA, 136 nt
Organism: Triticum aestivum (bread wheat)
Lineage: Eukaryota; Viridiplantae; Streptophyta; Magnoliopsida; Poales; Poaceae
Source: Rfam
UGUGUACUCCCUCCGUUCCAAAAUACUUGACUUCCAUUUGUCCAAAAAUGGAUGUACCUAUAUACUAAAACAUGUCUAGAUACAUAUAUAUUUUCAUAAAUAUAAGGCAUGUAUUGUGCAACGGAGGGAGUAGAAU